Molecule: ribosomal RNA, 253 nt
Filed under: uncultured bacterium
Lineage: Bacteria
Description: partial 16S ribosomal RNA
Rfam family: Bacterial small subunit ribosomal RNA
Source: RNAcentral
UACGUAGGGACCAAGCGUUGUUCGGAUUUACUGGGCGUAAAGGGCGCGUAGGCGGCGCGGUAAGUCACUUGUGAAAUCUCUGAGCUUAACUCAGAACGGCCAAGUGAUACUGCAGUGCUAGAGUGUGGAAGGGGCAAUCGGAAUUCUUGGUGUAGCGGUGAAAUGCGCAGAUAUCAGGAGGAACACCGGUGGCGAAGGCGGUUCUCUGGGCCUUACCUGACGCUGAGGAGCGAAAGCGUGGGGAGCAAACAGG